Molecule: unclassified non-coding RNA, 289 nt
Organism: Rhinopithecus bieti (black snub-nosed monkey)
Lineage: Eukaryota; Metazoa; Chordata; Mammalia; Primates; Cercopithecidae
Gene: 7SK
Rfam family: 7SK RNA
About the family: 7SK was discovered as an abundant small nuclear RNA in the mid-70s but a possible function has only recently been suggested. Two independent studies have found that 7SK RNA binds the CDK9/cyclin T complex (known as elongation factor P-TEFb).
Source: Ensembl
GAAUGUAAGAGCUAUAUGACUGUGACGUCUCUCACCCCAUUGAUCACCAGGGUGCCUUUGGCUGAUUUGACUGGCUAGGCAGGUGUCUGCUUCCUCCCUCACCUCUCCAUGUACAUCCCACUCGAAGCUGCACAUUCAGUCAGAGGAUCUUCCCUGAUAGAAAAGGACCAUUCUUUGGUCAAGGAUAUAUGAGUAGCUGUGCUCCUCUGCUAGAAUCUCCAAACAAGCUCCUCUGCUAGAAUCUCCAAACAAGCUCCCAGAAAGUGGGGCUAUUUCUUAACCCUAUUAA